AGCUAGGCAUGGCGACACCCACCUUUAAUACCAGCCCUCAGGCAGAGGACAGGUGGGACUCUAAGUCUGGGGGCAGCCCUGGUCUACAGCCAGGGCUGCACAGAGACUGUGGCUUGAAAAAACCAAAAUCCCAAAACAAACAAAAGACCUUAGAAGGCAGAGGUGUGUUUUGGCAGUAUAUAAUAAAAAUACACAUGAAACUGAGCAUAAAAACACAGCCUGUAAUCUCAUCAUUCAGGAGUCUGAGGCAGGAGGAUAAUGAGUUGGAGACCAGCCUGGGCUACAUAGUGAGUUUCAGACAAGCCUGAGAUAUGUAGCAAGAUCCUGCCUCAAAACUCUCAAAAUAGAGACAGAUAAGAAGAGAAAGAGGAGGGAGGAGGAGAAAACAAAUCCAGAUUGGUUGAUAUAUCAAUAGAUGGGUGGAUGUUAUACAGAGUGUAGAAUUUGAUAAGCUCAGGUGGGGAGUAUAAGAUUAUUUAUUAUGGGGGUUGGGGAUUUAGCUCAGUGGUAGAGUGCUUGCCUAGCGAGCGCAAGGCCCUGGGUUCGGUCCCCAGCUCCG
This 559-nucleotide long non-coding RNA is filed under the name Rattus norvegicus (Norway rat). RNAcentral's name for it is "long non-coding RNA NONRATT008169". Lineage: Eukaryota; Metazoa; Chordata; Mammalia; Rodentia; Muridae. The record is from RNAcentral.